RNAcentral lists this ribosomal RNA (839 nucleotides) under uncultured bacterium. RNAcentral describes it as "bacterial SSU rRNA". It matches the Rfam family "Bacterial small subunit ribosomal RNA", at positions 20 to 838 of the family's 1533-position model. The record is from RNAcentral.
GGCCUCAGGAUGAACGCUGGCGGCGCUGCCUAAUACAUGCAAGUCGAGCGAAUGGAUUAAGAGCUUGCUCUUAAGAAGUUAGCGGCGGACGGGUGAGUAACACGUGGGUAACCUGCCUAUAAGACUGGGAUAACUCCGGGAAACCGGGGCUAAUACCGGAUAACAUUUUGCACCGCAUGGUGCGGAAUUGAAAGGCGGCUUCGGCUGUCACUUAUAGAUGGACCUGCGGCGCAUUAGCUAGUUGGUGAGGUAACGGCUCACCAAGGCGGCGAUGCGUAGCCGACCUGAGAGGGUGAUCGGCCACACUGGGACUGAGACACGGCCCAGACUCCUACGGGAGGCAGCAGUAGGGAAUCUUCCGCAAUGGACGAAAGUCUGACGGAGCAACGCCGCGUGAGUGAUGAAGGCUUUCGGGUCGUAAAGUUCUGUUGUUAGGGAAGAACAAGUAUGAGAGUAACUGCUCGUACCUUGACGGUACCCAACCAGAAAGCCACGGCUAACUACGUGCCAGCAGCCGCGGUAAUACGUAGGUGGCAAGCGUUAUCCGGAAUUAUUGGGCGUAAAGCGCGCGCAGGUGGUUUCUUAAGUCUGAUGUGAAAGCCCACGGCUCAACCGUGGAGGGUCAUUGGAAACUGGGAGACUUGAGUGCAGAAGAGGAAAGUGGAAUUCCAUGUGUAGCGGUGAAAUGCGUAGAGAUAUGGAGGAACACCAGUGGCGAAGGCGACUUUCUGGUCUGUAACUGACACUGAGGCGCGAAAGCGUGGGGAAGCAAACAGGAUUAGAUACCCUGGUAGUCCACGCCGUAAACGAUGAGUGCUAAGUGUUAGAGGGUUUCCCCC